UAACUCUUAGCGGUGGAUCACUUGGCUCGUGGAUCGAUGAAGAACGCAGCUAGCUGCGAUAAAUAGUGCGAAUUGCAGACGCAUUGAGCACAAAGAUUUCGAAUGCACAUUGCACCAUCGGG
This 122-nucleotide ribosomal RNA is filed under the name Dirofilaria immitis (dog heartworm nematode). RNAcentral describes it as "partial 5.8S ribosomal RNA". It matches the Rfam family "5.8S ribosomal RNA", at positions 1 to 123 of the family's 154-position model. From Rfam's summary of the family: 5.8S ribosomal RNA (5.8S rRNA) is a component of the large subunit of the eukaryotic ribosome. It is transcribed by RNA polymerase I as part of the 45S precursor that also contains 18S and 28S rRNA. Lineage: Eukaryota; Metazoa; Nematoda; Chromadorea; Rhabditida; Onchocercidae. The record is from RNAcentral.